UUUUCCCUUAGUAAGACGUUGUGAUCCAUUAGGAAUAAAUCAUCCCUGGUUGGUGAUUGUUGGGCUACCAAUAGUCUGGCAUUGAAGUUCACUGUGACAAAUAAUACAGUCUUUACGGCUGUGUAUAUUGUCUAAUGAGCAUGCCAUGUUCUGGUGUAGCUGCCUGAUGGGUUUUAAAGGCCAUAUCAAUGAUGCUUGCAUCAUCCAUUCUCGGAUGGAAUUAAGGAUAUGUGCCCGAUCAACAACGGUUUCAUUUGGGAUACCUUUGGGACCCGUCUUGAAACACGGACCAAGGAGUCUAUCUAGUAUGCGAGUAAAUGGGAUUCAUAGAAACCUAUUUGCAUAAAUAACUUGACUGUUUUAUGGGAUUACGAGCACAUACUUUUACGAGGUGUGCUCCUCCAUCCCGGGGUAUUUUCAUAACAUAUAUGGGCAACUAUAUAUAGAAAAUAUACCAUGAGCAUACUGGACAUGACCCGAAAGAUGGUGAACUAUGCCUGAUCAGGUUGAAGUCAGGGGAAACCCUGAUGGAGGACCGAAGCAAUUCUGACGUGCAAAUCG
RNAcentral lists this ribosomal RNA (561 nucleotides) under Natarsia miripes. Its description in RNAcentral is "eukaryotic LSU rRNA". It matches the Rfam family "Eukaryotic large subunit ribosomal RNA", at positions 445 to 900 of the family's 3401-position model. The record is from RNAcentral. Lineage: Eukaryota; Metazoa; Arthropoda; Insecta; Diptera; Chironomidae.